This 475-nucleotide long non-coding RNA is filed under the name Ictidomys tridecemlineatus (thirteen-lined ground squirrel). RNAcentral describes it as "lncRNA (ENSSTOG00000031038.1)". The record is from RNAcentral. Lineage: Eukaryota; Metazoa; Chordata; Mammalia; Rodentia; Sciuridae.
CAGGUCUUGAGGCCCCCAGAGAAGGCACUGAUUUGCUGGGAUGUCCUAGACCUAGACCAGAGUGUAGAUCCAAUAAUCCAGAGCCUCUGGGGAAUGGGGUCUUAACUCUGGUGACUCUGGUGACCUUUGAGGUCAGAUGUGGCAGUGGCUCCCAUGUUCAUCUAGUCCUUCCACAUCUCUCCUUUGCCUGUGCAGCUGUGUAUUCAUCUGGCACCUGGGCCCAGAGAUUACCACCUGCAUGAAGCAGCACUUGCUGGAGAUCAACCACCAGGAGCAGCAGCGGCAACAGCAACCCAAGGACAGGAAGUGGGGCAGCCACCCCAGGCAGGAGACAUAUGCAUCCAUGCCCAGUGAGAUUCUGUCCUUAAGCCCUGGAGAGCAGACAGAAGAUGAGAUGGAAGAGGAGUGUGAACCAGAGGAGCUGCUGAAAACACCGUCCAAAGAGAGCUUGGAUCCAGGUUGGGGAAAGGGCCUG